RNAcentral lists this ribosomal RNA (417 nucleotides) under uncultured prokaryote. Its description in RNAcentral is "bacterial SSU rRNA". It matches the Rfam family "Bacterial small subunit ribosomal RNA", at positions 505 to 918 of the family's 1533-position model. The record is from RNAcentral.
GUGUCAGCAGCCGCGGUAAUACGGAGGGUGCGAGCGUUACUCGGAAUUACUGGGCGUAAAGGGCGCGUAGGCGGCCGUGCAAGUCUGGUGUGAAAGCCCGGGGCUUAACCCUGGAAGUGCACUGGAUACUGUGCGGCUUGAGUGCCGGAGAGGAGGGGGGAAUUCCCGGUGUAGCGGUGGAAUGCGUAGAUAUCGGGAGGAAUACCGGUGGCGAAGGCGCCCCUCUGGACGGUUACUGACGCUGAGGCGCGAAAGCGUGGGGAGCAAACAGGAUUAGAUACCCUGGUAGUCCACAGCCGUAAACGAUGUGCACUAGAUGUAGGGAGGUGUUGACCCUCUCUGUGUCGGAGCUAACGUAUUAAGUGCACCGCCUGGGGAGUACGGCCGCAAGGUUAAAACUCAAAUGAAUUGACGGGG